Molecule: ribosomal RNA, 1097 nt
Filed under: Lactiplantibacillus plantarum
Lineage: Bacteria; Bacillati; Bacillota; Bacilli; Lactobacillales; Lactobacillaceae
Description: bacterial SSU rRNA
Rfam family: Bacterial small subunit ribosomal RNA
Source: RNAcentral
GGCUCAGGACGAACGCUGGCGGCGUGCCUAAUACAUGCAAGUCGAACGAACUCUGGUAUUGAUUGGUGCUUGCAUCAUGAUUUACAUUUGAGUGAGUGGCGAACUGGUGAGUAACACGUGGGAAACCUGCCCAGAAGCGGGGGAUAACACCUGGAAACAGAUGCUAAUACCGCAUAACAACUUGGACCGCAUGGUCCAAGUUUGAAAGAUGGCUUCGGCUAUCACUUUUGGAUGGUCCCGCGGCGUAUUAGCUAGAUGGUGGGGUAACGGCUCACCAUGGCAAUGAUACGUAGCCGACCUGAGAGGGUAAUCGGCCACAUUGGGACUGAGACACGGCCCAAACUCCUACGGGAGGCAGCAGUAGGGAAUCUUCCACAAUGGACGAAAGUCUGAUGGAGCAACGCCGCGUGAGUGAAGAAGGGUUUCGGCUCGUAAAACUCUGUUGUUAAAGAAGAACAUAUCUGAGAGUAACUGUUCAGGUAUUGACGGUAUUUAACCAGAAAGCCACGGCUAACUACGUGCCAGCAGCCGCGGUAAUACGUAGGUGGCAAGCGUUGUCCGGAUUUAUUGGGCGUAAAGCGAGCGCAGGCGGUUUUUUAAGUCUGAUGUGAAAGCCUUCGGCUCAACCGAAGAAGUGCAUCGGAAACUGGGAAACUUGAGUGCAGAAGAGGACAGUGGAACUCCCCUGUGUAGCGGUGAAAUGCGUAGAUAUUAUGGAAGAACACCAGUGGCGAAAGCGGCUGUCUGGUCUGUAACUGACGCUGAGGCUCGAAAGUAUGGGUAGCAAACAGGAUUAGAUACCCUGGUAGUCCAUACCGUAAACGAUGAAUGCUAAGUGUUGGAGGGUUUCCGCCCUUCAGUGCUGCAGCUAACGCAUUAAGCAUUCCGCCUGGGGAGUACGGCCGCAAGGCUGAAACUCAAAGGAAUUGACGGGGGCCCGCACAAGCGGUGGAGCAUGUGGUUUAAUUCGAAGCUACGCGAAGAACCUUACCAGGUCUUGACAUACUAUGCAAAUCUAAGAGAUUAGACGUUCCCUUCGGGGACAUGGAUACAGGUGGUGCAUGGUUGUCGUCAGCUCGUGUCGUGAGAUGUUGGGU